This 250-nucleotide unclassified non-coding RNA is filed under the name Hevea brasiliensis (rubber tree). The record is from RNAcentral. Lineage: Eukaryota; Viridiplantae; Streptophyta; Magnoliopsida; Malpighiales; Euphorbiaceae.
GGUGCACAUGACUGGCCUUAUUAAUGGAAUUCUCCCUGGAUAGAGUAUCAUCCUUUGAACAGGAUGCCUUAGUGCUUUCAGCAGCACCUGAUGACACUGUUCUGAGUGGAGGAUUAGAUCGUUGCUCCCAGGCUGAUGACUUGAGAUUUUCCUCUUGUGAGUACCUCUUAGAUUCCAUAAUCGGUUUCGAUGGUUCUGCUGAUCUACGCUGCUCAGAACUUCCCCAGUUAUCUGAAUUUUUGGACUGAGG